UCUGUUUUUGCUUAUUCUUGUUAUAAUUAUUAUGAUCUACUUUCAAUAACUUUAACUUUGUAAACUGUUGUGUAACAAUAAUGUCACAUCACAUACACCAGCAGUUACACCUGUCUAACCAGCAAGUUAUGUUAUGUACUUGUUAGGGAAUGUAACUUUCUGUUGUUUGAUGAAUUUUCAACACAGCACUAUGUAAAGUGAGACACUUCUUCUUGUUAUUAUAUUUCUGUUUUCCUUUUAGACUUGAACAGGAAGUCACAACAGUCUUCAGGAGCGGGAGGAGAAUCAGCCUUUGUAUGCACAAAUAGCAACGACUUUGGACUAAAAAACAAGACAACUGGCCCUACAGAAUAUAGGAACUUCUGACUGCUGACACAAGGACGUCAGCCAAAAAGCAGUGAAAGAGGACUGUAGCGAUCAGCUGAUGAAGAUUGCCAUCAUCCAUCCGAAUGUGGCAGAGGAAAACCAAGCUCCUGUGUAUGUCUCGGUCAUCAUUGAGGGGACAGAAGUUCUGGAGGACUGCGGAAGUGUGACAAAUGCUUGCCUCUUGCUCAUGGGUGUCAUUUAUGCUGUCAACUUAAGGUACCCACUGAAACUGGAAUAUACGUUUGAAGUUUUUCAGAAGCUGUUUCUUGAGCUUGACAUCCUUAAAAUGUCACCAAAGGUCCAGUCUCUCCGCAAGAAGCUUAUGUGAGUGUUCCAGUGUUUGAGUUUUUG
Amphiprion ocellaris (clown anemonefish) is the source of this 717-nucleotide long non-coding RNA. RefSeq lists it as uncharacterized. The transcript is spliced from 3 exons. NCBI's taxonomy places the organism in Eukaryota, Metazoa, Chordata, Actinopteri, Pomacentridae. The record is from RefSeq and is a predicted model, not a curated record.